Doryrhamphus excisus (bluestripe pipefish) is the source of this 3661-nucleotide non-coding RNA. Lineage: Eukaryota; Metazoa; Chordata; Actinopteri; Syngnathiformes; Syngnathidae. The record is from RefSeq and is a predicted model, not a curated record.
AUGUGUGUAUGUGUGGCCAGAAAGACAAAGAAAAACAAUAACGCGUGUGUAUCACUCGCGUGUAAGUCUUAAUGCGGAAGUAGCAUUUGCUGCAUUUAAAGAAGUCCAAUAAACUUCACAAAACAAUUCCACUUAAAUGACGCGGUGCCUUGAAAGACAACCCCUCGAAGAUCAUAACCGUUAAAUGCUGCGCUACUAUUAAAGAGAGCGUUUCAGACGUGUGUGUUCAUCGGUUACUGUGAUUGAAAUGUUCACUUCAUUUGGCGACGUUAAUACAUGCCAAUAUAUCUAUAUAUAAUCCAUAUAAAUAUGUAUAAUGCAUACUAUUGAAUGAACGUGCAUGGUAUAAAAUGUGGUAUUGUCAGGCCGAUGCAGGCAGCUUAAUUGUCACCAAUCUGCCUUAGUGUGAAGGAGUUAGCUCCUUGCUAAGUGUAGCCUCCUGCUUCUAAACGGCUUAGGAAGACACGUUGGACGGGCACCGGAUCAUGUUGUCCUCACCUUACUUUACCCCUGCACGGCCGAUUUGCUUAUGUACACUGUAUAGGUGUGUCAGGCCGGGUACAACAUAAUGGAUUCAGAGGAUAAACAAACAAAAGACUGAGGGCUCCAGAUGACGCUGUAGUGUAGACGUUUCUAUUUGAACUCCACUGAAGGCUGAGCAACACUGAAAAAGGCACAGUGCUGCUGGCUGGACACCAUCACGUCUGUGCUGCUGGUACACCACCACCUCCUUCUAGCUCCGUUUCAUAAGAAGAACACGGUCCCUGCUCUUUGAAUUGAGGACAGGAGAGGAUGGCAGAUGGAGAGAAGGAGAAGGAAGAGUCCAUGAGAGGCGCUGACGUUGUAUUGUGUAAUCAGCCUAUGUUCUGAGAAGGAACAUCACACCCUCGUGUGCCGGGAUCUUAUUGUGGCCUCCCACUCACUAGACGGGAAGAAAGAGUACAACCCACCUCGUAUGUCCACUGGCUCCUCCCAUCCACGUCAGCCGGACCACAAAGCAACUCGAGCCGCUGGACCCCCACCCUUCACAUUUCAACACUAUGCUCAUGCUAAUGUGCCAAUGCUAAUGUGGUAAUCCAUCCGUUUUCCAUGCCGCUUAUCCUCACCUUAUCCUGCUGCUGGAGCCUAUCCCAGCUGACUUGGGCGAGAGGCGGGAUCCACCCAGGACUGAUGGCCAGCCAAUCCCAGGGCACAUAUAGACAAACAACCAUUCCCACCCACAUUCAUACCUAUGGACAAUUUGGAGUGGCCAAUCAAGCUAACAUGUUUUUGGAACGUGGGAGGCAACCGGACUACAUGUAGAAAUCCCACGCAUGCACGGGGAGAACAUGCAAACUCCGCACAGAGAUGGGCGAGGGUGGAAUUGAACUCGGGUCUCCUAGCUGUGAGGCCUGCGCGCUAACCACCAUGCAGCCCUAUCCUGACCUCACUUAUUUCAUAUUCUUUUGCAAGAGCCACAUUGUCUGAUAUCAUGAUUUUAUGAUAUCAGGAUUUCAUGAUAUCAUGAUAUAUAUAAUGGUUUCAUGAUAUCGUGAUUUCAUCAUGAUUCCAUUUCCAGAAGGGGGUUAGAGUAGGUCCUGGUAAGGAAUGGUUGUCUGAGGUGACUUCUAGGACAUACAGUGACAAUAUCACACGUGGGCCAACAUGACAACACUUACACUGUACUUAUAUGAACAUGGACGACAUCACAGAAAUAUAUAUUUUUUAAACUCGAGUUGUCAUGAAGUUAGUAGCGAUCCAAGUUGAUAUAAAUGUUUGCAUCGACCCGCCGAGGAGGGGCGACUGAAAGAAGCGACCUCCCCCUUCUGUCAUAGGCGUAGGGGAGAGGCGAGCCCCGGGUGGACUCCAUUUCCCAGCGUGCAUUGCGCCCCAUGAUGUUCCCAACAGCUGACAGACGGUGAAAGCCGCUAGCAGAGAGCUGUCUGUUGUGAGGGAAGAGGACAACGGCGGACUUCAUCGUCACGUCGAGGGACUUUUCCACAACCUUGUUGCGUCGAGCCUCCCCUUUGGAUUAAGAAAAGAAGUCUAUUAUUGUUAUUAUGCACUGAGCACACGCAGCAGUAUUACUACAGUACCCACGGUACCCACUGACACUAUGGGGCCACCUAGUGGCUGACUGGGGAAACUUCCUCAUCUUUUUUUAUCCUUUGUGUCCUUUUGCCCCCAAAAGACUCAGGAAAGACGCAUGGUAAAGGAAUGUGUUCGGCACAUCUUCAUUCUGGGAUUCCUUCUGUUACCUUGGACAAAGCUACUUGAUGUCAGCUUCCCUUUGGAGUGCCGUCCACACGACUUCCUCUUGACUGGCACACGUACGCCACCCUGGAGGGGGAGAGAAACCUUGUGAGAUCAGGAGAAGGUUUGCAAAUGUCUCCUUUGAGAGUGAGCAACAUUUUGAGAAGCAUCCUGACAAAGUUUAGCCAAAACUUUCCAGAGAAACUUUUACAAGAUCCUGAAAAGGUUUCUCUAGAAAUGUCCUGAGAAGUAAGAUAAGACUUUCAGUCCCACAAGGGUAGCUUUCUUUGCUUCUGGUCUCCGGGGUUCUAUCUUCAUGAUGGCAUUCCACUUUGAGGUUGGCCUGAAUUGUCGAAGCUCAAGCGUGUUUGAUGGGAAGGUGGUUCAUGCAAGUGGAGACCUGUGGAAAGAACCUGGCCGUGUUGGGUUAGUUCCCGUUGGUCAGCAUCUGACUGCGUUUCAAAGUUGAUAUGCGGUGCGAGUGUGACAUGAGGAGACCCCGUCCCGUUGGAGAAGAAGUCUUUUCAAGUGCUUCUCCAGAGGCUGAAGAUCAAUCACCUCCAAGGUGCUGGAGACCAAGGCUCAACAAAACCAGGAUCUCACAAAACCUUCUCAGGAUGACUUUUUGUGUUGUUUGAAAUGCUGACCCGUUAGGCGUCUGUACAUGUUGGUGGCACGGGAACAUGAAGAGCAGAACAAGUGUGGUCUGGUAGAGCUCGCAUGUUCCUCUUUCACAGCAUCCCAAGCGGACUGAAACCAAGAUGGGUGAUGUUUACACGCCCUAACAUUGACAGCCAACCGGACUUCCAUCAGGGACGCAUUACAAGCAUAACCGUCCAUGAGAUGAGCAUGUGCUGGACAACGGCGUAUCUACUGUCCGUGUACGUUUGAGAUCUUUUCAGUAGAAAAACAUCAGUCUCAGGCGGCAGAGAGGCUGAGACUGCAUGAGUCCAAACACUAGGUCUGCCUUUUAUUUUGAACAAUGCCUUGUUGUCUCGACAGUGUUGCAAAACAUAUGCAUGACUGUCCUUUUGGGAAGAAAAUAGUGUAUUUUUUCUUACUGUAUGAUGUAGACACUAUAAAUAGCUCUGUUGCCAAAUGUGAUGAAGAAUAAUGUGACGAACUGAGCAUUUCCUGUUGAACUCAACACUCUUCAGUUGAAGCAGUUGAAUGUAUAGCUUUGUACAAAACUAUUUUAGCUCUGAGGGUAUGCUAGUGAAGAUAGACCUGAAGGAUAAAACAACACUUUUUUAAUAAAAACAUUUUGUAUUAGAAGAUUAACAUUGGUCAUUUUGUAUAUAGAAGAAAAGUGGUUAGCAGAACGCUGAAACAUUCCUGCAUUUUUUUCAAUGUAUGCCAGAUGUAUGUCAGAUGAUUCCAUGGACACGCAAUGUUAUGUGCCUUUUAUUUGGUUUGUCUAAAUAAAAGG